Molecule: ribosomal RNA, 465 nt
Filed under: uncultured bacterium
Lineage: Bacteria
Description: partial 16S ribosomal RNA
Rfam family: Bacterial small subunit ribosomal RNA
Source: RNAcentral
GACGAACGCUGGCGGCGUGCUUAACACAUGCAAGUCGAACGGAAAGGCCCUGCUUGCAGGGUACUCGAGUGGCGAACGGGCGAGUAACACGUGGGUGAUCUGCCCUGCACUUCGGGAUAAGCCUGGGAAACUGGGUCUAAUACCGGAUAGGAGCCAUUUUUAGUGUGAUGGUUGGAAAGUUUUUUCGGUGUAGGAUGAGCUCGCGGCCUAUCAGCUUGUUGGUGGGGUAAUGGCCUACCAAGGCGGCGACGGGUAGCCGGCCUGAGAGGGUGGACGGCCACAUUGGGACUGAGAUACGGCCCAGACGCCUACGGGAGGCAGCAGUGGGGAAUAUUGCACAAUGGGCGCAAGCCUGAUGCAGCGACGCCGCGUGGGGGAUGACGGCCUUCGGGUUGUAAACUCCUUUCGCUAGGGACGAAGCUUUUUGUGACGGUACCUAGAUAAGAAGCACCGGCUAACUACGUG